This 85-nucleotide transfer RNA is filed under the name Felis catus (domestic cat). It matches the Rfam family "tRNA". Rfam says of the family: Transfer RNA (tRNA) molecules are approximately 80 nucleotides in length. Their secondary structure includes four short double-helical elements and three loops (D, anti-codon, and T loops). The record is from Rfam by way of RNAcentral. RNAcentral also lists the same sequence under 1 other name. Lineage: Eukaryota; Metazoa; Chordata; Mammalia; Carnivora; Felidae.
GCCUGAGUGGCUCAGUCGGUUAAGCAUCUGACUUCAGCUCAGGUCAUGAUCUCAUGGUUUGUGGGUUUGAGCCCCGCGUUGGGCU